ACAGAGGGUGCAAACGUUGCUCGGAAUCACUGGGCGUAAAGGGCGUGUAGGCGGGAAGGAAAGUCAGAUGUGAAAUCCCCAGGCUCAACCUGGGAACUGCAUUUGAAACUCCCUUUCUUGAGUACCGGAGAGGAAAGUGGAAUUCCUGGUGUAGAGGUGAAAUUCGUAGAUAUCAGGAGGAACACCAGUGGCGAAGGCGGCUUUCUGGACGGUAACUGACGCUGAGACGCGAAAGCGUGGGGAGCAAACAGGA
Molecule: ribosomal RNA, 253 nt
Filed under: uncultured prokaryote
Description: partial 16S ribosomal RNA
Rfam family: Bacterial small subunit ribosomal RNA
Source: RNAcentral